Molecule: long non-coding RNA, 2302 nt
Organism: Cyclopterus lumpus (lumpfish)
Lineage: Eukaryota; Metazoa; Chordata; Actinopteri; Perciformes; Cyclopteridae
Exons: 2
Source: RefSeq, a predicted model, not a curated record
CUCCGGCCUGGUCUUGUGUCCGGUGGCCCGGGGCGACGCACUUCCUCAGCUUCACGGUAAUGCAGAGAUAAGAGACGAAGACGGCGGACAGCGGCAGGACGUACGUGACCACCAAGUACGUGUGGCGGACCGCCGGAGCAACCAGCCCGCAGGACAGCAGCCAGAUGCCGGUGAGGACGGAGGCGCAGGUGGCCACGGAGAUGCGCUUCUUCAUGAGGUGAACGGUGGCGUAAUACCUGCAAUAAAGACAGAGCGGCGCUUUAUAAUGAUUAGAAAGAUAUUAAUGCACGUAUAGUCACGAGCCAAUGUAUGAAUUAGUGUGUGUUUUAUAAGGAACAGGAGAUCAAUUCAAGUUAAAUUAGUUAAUUAGCUCUAAACGUCCCUGCACAUAAUCUCAGAGCAGUCCAUUUCAUUUACCUUUUCAAAAGAAAAACUACGAUAAUAAUAAUAAUAUUAAUAUUAAUAAUAGUGAUAUUGAUAGAAACCUGUAUUUAUAUAGCAUCACUCUAUGUGGAGGAUAUUAGCACAAUGCAGUCUACAUCAAGAAAACCCAAAACAAUUACAAAGACAGAGCUUUAAAUUUGACCCAAACAGAACAAUAAGAAAGAGGAAAAUAAUUAACAUGUUAAUCUAUUAAGAGUGAUCAGAGGUGUAUAUGAUAAUACGGCAGUAAAAAGCUGGUGCUUAGAAGCCUCCAUUGAUGUGGCUGUUCUCAGCUCAGCUGAAAGGGGAGACAUGAACAAUUUGAGGGCAGAAAUGGAGAAGGGAGCUUUUCUGUAGCCGUUUGAAUUUGUAUAACAGUGAGCAGCAGAGAGGAGAGGGAUCUCAGGGGUCUAACGGGGGACAAGUCUCUGCAGCACAUUGUUCUGCAUGUCCGUGCACAAAGUGUAAAGCUGGAUAAUUGGAUUUUGGUCUGUGCCCAUCAGUCGCACACUGCUGCAAGCAGCCCAAGUGUUUUGCAUGUGUUCGUUCAUAAAUUCACAAAUGAUGUACAAAAUAAAUGAGAGUUUGAUAUAAUUAAUUUAUAAUGUUUACCUAAUUUACCAACUCUAUAUAUGAGCUAACAAAAAACGAAUUAUUAAUAUAUAAUAAACCAGAGGAGUCUUAGUUACAUCAUGUAUUAUAGCAUACUCUGAAUCACAAUAAUAAGUCCUAAUAAUAAUAAUAACUCCUAUUUUAGUAAUACGCAUAAGUCAUGAAAUGUUCAUGCUAAAGUGGUGCUAUUAAAAGUGCAAUCUUUCUGCACAGCUCCAUAAUUCCUAAGUGCGUAUAAAUGGAAAUUGAUGACAGAUAAUUGUUGAAUUUCCUCAUUGUCUAAUUUCUGGCUUGUGGAGAGAAAGAAAACCAAAGGACGUUUAAAGAUAAUUCAAAAGGUCCUUUUGUGAUGUUAGUGGAGUCAUUCUUGCAGCGCAGAGAGAUCCACCCACCUGUCCACGGCGAUAGCAGUGAGUGUGAAGACUGAAACGUAGACGGUGACCGGUUGGAUGAGGAACACCAGAUAGCACAUCGGGCGGCCAAAAGCCCAACCGUGUGGGUUGAAGGCGUAGGCGAGCGUGAAAGGGACGCAGGUCACACACAUGAGCAUGUCAGAGAAGGCCAGGUUGCCGAUGAAGAAGUUGGUGACAUUGUGCAUUUUGCGGGUUCGACAAAUGACAUAGAGGAGCAGGUAAUUCCCAAAGACGCCCACCACCACAACGAGCACGUAACAGGGGAUGAUGAGAGGCUUGAACAUCUGCAGCAGAGCCACGUCUGCAAACUGGGAGGUGCGGUUGGCGGAGCUGUUGUCCACCUCAUCAAUGUGUCCGUCGGUCUGUUCCCCCGACACGGAGCCGCUGUGAUUACCCUCCAUGGAGGCAAAGCUCAGUCUGCCAGUGUCUGCCCUGUCCAAAAGACAAUCACUUGCAAAACAUUAGCAACUUCUACAAAUGUCAAGUCUGUGUAUAUUCAAUCCAAGGAUGCGUGAAAAAAAAGGUAAAUGUAAUUGUGAACCACAUUCUGUUCAUGACAUUUACUAAAUGGAAGGCCAUUAUUGGAUAGUCAUGCUUUUACCAACACAUUCUCACAGAGGCGAAGACCACGCUAUUAAAGGGUGUAUAAUCACGAAGGCAUUUAAAUGCACAACAUUAUGCAUCCUCCACUGAAAUGUACAUAUGUCAAAUGUCUGCACGUAGAGGUAAUGUGGUCACGUUAGUCUGAUUACAGACCAGUGUUUAAUAUUUUUCAGCAUCAGUGGAUUUGUUCAACGUAACUGGGGAGCUGAAUUUUGAUGCAUUUUCUUAAACAAUAAAAAACGAUUGUGUUA